Acanthopagrus latus (yellowfin seabream) is the source of this 512-nucleotide long non-coding RNA. RefSeq lists it as uncharacterized. The transcript is spliced from 2 exons. Lineage: Eukaryota; Metazoa; Chordata; Actinopteri; Spariformes; Sparidae. The record is from RefSeq and is a predicted model, not a curated record.
UGGAAGCAGUGCCUUCAUUUAUGGGAAGUUUUUUUACUCUUGCACAUGUUGGGGAGAUGGAAGUAGUAUAAUACAGCAGGCUAUUGAUAAGAGCAGAGCCACAUGAGGCUGCACAACCUGUAUUCACAAACAAACAGGUGCUGUGUGAAGAAACAUCAUUCUGAAAGAGAGCAGCUCAUACAAGCUUCAUUCAAGAUUUCAAGAAGAUUUGUAAUACUUCCUAUAUGUGGCUUUUAUUUUUGAAUGCGUCGUAUUUCCGGUCCUCGCUAAGUGCCGCCACCUUGACGCGGCUGCGGGUCUGGUGGACGUUUGCUGUGUGAUGAGGACGCGACGGGCUGGCGGGGCGGAGCUACACACAGAGGAGCGACAGAUGAUCCCAAAUGGAAGAAGAAGAGAUGACUUCACUGAAACUUCACUGACUGUCCUGAAAGACAAAAACAGAACAAACAUAAAACUAUGCUGAGUGCAGUUUUUAGCUAUUAAAACAAAACUAUUAAAGAUUAUUAACAGAC